GACGAACGCUGGCGGCGUGCCUAAUACAUGCAAGUCGAACGCUGAAGGAGGAGCUUGCUUCUCUGGAUGAGUUGCGAACGGGUGAGUAACGCGUAGGUAACCUGCCUGGUAGCGGGGGAUAACUAUUGGAAACGAUAGCUAAUACCGCAUAAUAGCAGUUGUUGCAUGACAACUGUUUGAAAGGUGCAAUUGCACCACUACCAGAUGGACCUGCGUUGUAUUAGCUAGUUGGUGGGGUAACGGCUCACCAAGGCGACGAUACAUAGCCGACCUGAGAGGGGGAUCGGCCACACUGGGACUGAGACACGGCCCAGGCUCCUACGGGAGGCAGCAGUAGGGAAUCUUCGGCAAGAGACGGAAGUCUGACCGAGCAACGCCGCGUGAGUGAAGAAGGUUUUCGGAUCGUAAAGCUCGGUUGUAAGAGAAGAACGAGUGUGAGAGUGGAAAGUUCACACUGUGACGGUAUCUUACCAGAAAGGGACGGCUAACUACGUG
This 495-nucleotide ribosomal RNA is filed under the name uncultured bacterium. Its description in RNAcentral is "partial 16S ribosomal RNA". It matches the Rfam family "Bacterial small subunit ribosomal RNA", at positions 28 to 507 of the family's 1533-position model. The record is from RNAcentral.